RNAcentral lists this ribosomal RNA (497 nucleotides) under uncultured bacterium. RNAcentral describes it as "partial 16S ribosomal RNA". It matches the Rfam family "Bacterial small subunit ribosomal RNA", at positions 899 to 1397 of the family's 1533-position model. The record is from RNAcentral.
ACUCAAAUGAAUAGACGGGGGCCCGCACAAGCGGCGGAGCAUGCGGAUUAAUUCGAUGCAACGCGAAGAACCUUACCUGGGUUUGACAUCGCCCGUUUACCUGCAGAGAUGCGGGGUCCUUCGGGGCGGGUGACAGGUGGUGCAUGGCUGUCGUCAGCUCGUGUCGUGAGAUGUUGGGUUAAGUCCCGCAACGAGCGCAACCCUCGUUCGAUGUUGCCAGCGGGUUAUGCCGGGGACUCAUCGAAGACUGCCGGGGUCAACUCGGAGGAAGGUGGGGAUGACGUCAAGUCAUCAUGCCCCUUAUGUCCAGGGCUUCACGCAUGCUACAAUGGCCGGUACAAAGGGUUGCGAUGCCGUGAGGUGGAGCGAAUCCCAAAAAGCCGGUCUCAGUUCGGAUCGGGGUCUGCAACUCGACCCCGUGAAGUCGGAGUCGCUAGUAAUCGCAGAUCAGCAACGCUGCGGUGAAUACGUUCCCGGGCCUUGCACACACCGCCCGU